Molecule: ribosomal RNA, 468 nt
Filed under: uncultured bacterium
Lineage: Bacteria
Description: partial 16S ribosomal RNA
Rfam family: Bacterial small subunit ribosomal RNA
Source: RNAcentral
GACGAACGCUGGCGGCGUGCUUAACACAUGCAAGUCGAACGGAAAGGCCCUGCUUUUGUGGGGUGCUCGAGUGGCGAACGGGUGAGUAACACGUGAGUAACCUGCCCUUGACUUUGGGAUAACUUCAGGAAACUGGGGCUAAUACCGGAUAGGAGCUCCUGCUGCAUGGUGGGGGUUGGAAAGUUUCGGCGGUUGGGGAUGGACUCGCGGCUUAUCAGCUUGUUGGUGGGGUAGUGGCUUACCAAGGCUUUGACGGGUAGCCGGCCUGAGAGGGUGACCGGCGAGAUUGGGAAAGAGACCGAGCGAGGCCUCCAACUGGAGGCAGACGGGGUGAAGAUUGAACACGGGGCUGAAGGCGAUUGCAGCAACUCGGCGUGCGGGAGGAGGGCCUGCGGGUGGUAGCCCGCUUUCGCCGGUGACGAAGCGGGGGGGAAGGGAAUGGGAUAAGAAGAACCGGCUAACUACGUG